GAUGAAGAACGUAGCGAAAUGCGAAAAGUAAUGUGAAUUGCAGAAUUCAGUGAACCAUCGAAUCUUUGAACGCACAUUGCGCCCGCUGGAACUCCGGCGGGCACGCCUGUCCGAGCGUCAUUUCAACCCUCAGGCCCCCCUUCGCGGGCGGGCCUGGUGUUGGGGCCCGGCCGCUACCCUGCGGCCGUCCCCUAAAUCCAGUGGCGGCCUCGCCGUGAUCCCUUGCGUAGUAAUGCACCUCGCACCGGAGAGCGCCGUGGCCACGCCGUAAAACCCCCAAUUUUCAAUGGUUGACCUCGGAUCAGGUGGGAAUACCCGCUGAACUUAAGCAUAUCAAUGAGCGGAGGA
This 348-nucleotide unclassified non-coding RNA is filed under the name soil metagenome. RNAcentral's name for it is "partial contains 5.8S ribosomal RNA, internal transcribed spacer 2, and large subunit ribosomal RNA". The stretch from base 1 to 120 matches the Rfam family "5.8S ribosomal RNA", at positions 35 to 154 of the family's 154-position model. The record is from RNAcentral.